Long non-coding RNA from Vicugna pacos (alpaca), 1976 nucleotides. RefSeq lists it as uncharacterized. NCBI's taxonomy places the organism in Eukaryota, Metazoa, Chordata, Mammalia, Artiodactyla, Camelidae. The record is from RefSeq and is a predicted model, not a curated record.
GGAGGCUGCUACUCCCAGAAGAGUUUAAAGGGUAGAAGCUUCCUCCCCACAGGGAGAGGCUGGCGGCUCAGGCCAGCCCGGGGUCUCCGGGGCCAGCAGGGCGGACUGCCUCAUCGCCAGAGGACCGGGGUCACAGCGACAGGUAGGUUUCAGGGGAACUUUCAAGAAGCUGGCCGCCGGGGGAAGAGGAUGCUCCAGGGACUAUGUCCUUAACGCUUUGUCAGCAACAGCUUUGACGGUGAGCAGUGAACUAGCAGCUCUGCGAAAGACUGCACUUUGAUCUGCACGCUUUAUUUUCUCCUCCUGUUACGAGAGCAGCUUAGCCUUCCAUCGGGGGCGGAGGGGAGCCAGCAGGGGGGCGUGGGAAGCAGAGAGGAGCCAGCCAGGCCCUCUCUCUAGUCCGGGGCGGGCCUCUCUCGGCCCGCAGGCGUCCCACAGCCCGCCGUCCCUCUCCUCCGCCAGGUGAGCUGGGGACGACGAGCGCCCGGAACCCUCGUCUUAGCGACGCGGGCGGCGUUUCUCCAGCUGGCGUUUCUGCCGGCUUGGUACCAAAGAAAAGCAGGACCCGGACAGGCACGCGCACAGGGGGAUCCGCGGAGCCGAGCUCGCGUCAAUCUGCGACAGGGUUUCCACCCCAAAGCAGGGCUCCGGGCCUCGGAGAGCUGUGUCCUCUGUCCGCCACCGUGGCAGGUGUGUGCCGCUACCCUGUAACGGGUACGUGCAUUUUAAGGAAAUUUCCCUGAUCUUCCCUGGGAAGUACCAGGCAAACAGCAGAAUCAGUUUGAUGCCAAUAAGGACACACAGAAGCAGACGAGGCAGCUCGGGGCGAACGAGGAGUCAAGGUGUGCUUAGCGGAAACGGCACGUCCUCAAGAGCUGGGGGCAGACUGACACCAGUGUCCCCCCAGUGCCGCGGGACAGCUGCGACCGGAAGAUGAGACGCAGGGAGAAAACCGCGCUGAGGAAAAUAAGGAGACUUGCCUGUCACCUGCCGCAGCGCCGCGGCUCCUUGACGGCGCAAGAAGGCAACGCAGACGGUCCGCUAGAUGGCGCUCCUGCCUUUCCAAACGGUUCUCUCCUGGGGCCCCCACUCCUGAUCCUUAGCGGAGGCCGCGCGAACGCCCAGCAAAGUACGGAAGAUUUCCAAAGUGACUUCCCGACUGACGGGCACGGGAGAGACGGUGGACUGACACGCCUGAGCUGCGUCCCGCCAGCUCUUAGAGGGGCGAGCACGGUGCUACCACAGCUCCCAUCAGAACGUCAGACAUGCUCUCCCUAGUGAUAGAAUUUUACGACCCAGAGAGAAUUAAAGGAAUUUUCAUUGCAGCAUCAUUUCAAAUAAAAAUUCUGAAGUGACUUGAGUGCCGAGCACAAUGAAAGUGGAUAAAGAAAUGGUGCCAGAGGUUGUACAAGGGGCUCCAGGCGGCAGUUAACACGAGGAUGCUCACAUUAAGUCUCAUGACCCCGCCGGUUGUGAGCCAUUGUCUCCCUGCGCCAGCCCGUCCCUCCCUCACGCUCUGCUUGGUGACGCUGGGACGGGCGUGCCCUCCGCUGCUGUCCUGCCAACGUCCCAACAGCCACAGCCUGCACCCUGGCAGCACUUGGUACCACCGCCCGCUGGGCUCACAGUGGAAGCAAAACAGACCUAAUCUUUCCUUUAAAAGUUCACAGUCUAGGGAAACGAUCUUUGAUUUAAAGAUCGUACGUAGGAGAGGUACCUGAGCCUAUGAGACAGGGACUUCACGUGGACAGGCCGACUACGAGACAGUUCCAAACGCUGAGCCCUCACGCACAUACGCACACAGAUAAACACACACCCAAACACGCGCACACGCAAGAGCUCGGCACGUGCGCCUCUCCCGUCUGGAACGGCACGUCCACUCCGCCGCCUCCGCCGGAAAAGUCGGUUCGCAAUCAAAGCGAUCACAGAGAGAUCACAGCAGUGGAGACGGCAGCGCUGUGUACCCGCUCUUUUCU